This 354-nucleotide ribosomal RNA is filed under the name uncultured bacterium. RNAcentral describes it as "bacterial SSU rRNA". It matches the Rfam family "Bacterial small subunit ribosomal RNA", at positions 1 to 334 of the family's 1533-position model. The record is from RNAcentral.
CUAUGCGCCUUGCCAGCCCGCUCAGUCAGAGUUUGAUCCUGGCUCAGGACGAACGCUGGCGGCGUGCUUAACACAUGCAAGUCGAACGCUGAAGCCUAGCUUGCUGGGUGGAUGAGUGGCGAACGGGUGAGUAACACGUGAGUAACCUGCCCCCUUCUUUGGGAUAACGCCCGGAAACGGGUGCUAAUACUGGAUAUUCACUGGUCUUCGCAUGGGGGUUGGUGGAAAGGUUUUUCUGGUGGGGGAUGGGCUCGCGGCCUAUCAGCUUGUUGGUGGGUGAUGGCCUACCAAGGCUUUGACGGGUAGCCGGCCUGAGAGGGUGACCGGUCACAUUGGGACUGAAAUACGGCCCAG